CUAGGUUGUUGUCCAAUGCACUUACUUUAUCUCCAAAUAAGAAAUUAAUUUAAAAUGAGACAUUUUCUGCAAAAGUUUCAACUUUAAUAAAGAUAAGAAUAUUCUACCAACAUCACAUCAACACUUUUACACUUACCAAAGUUUUCUUUUUUUCUUCCCAAAGCAAUUUUACUUUCCUGUAAAUCCUCAAGCCACAUAAGACUCUAAUAUUUCAUCUUCCUUUUUUUUUUUCCAAUCUACUUCUCUACCUUUAGUACGCCACUCCUUUGAUCGAAACCCACUGCCAUCGAUCGAGUCAAAGGCCUAAAAGCUUCCUUUACUCGUCACCUAGCCUUCCAUGUAAUGCUAUUUUAGAUUUACUAUGAAAACGUCUUCAACCUCUCCUGGUAUGACACCUACUAAGGUACUUGCUACGACACUUGCUGCAGCACCUGCUACCAAUAUUGGUGCGGCCCCUCUCCUGGUUAUAUGUCCUCUGAGUAUUUUUAUACUAAGGCUUUAGUUCCUCUUCUACACGAAAGGUCUUUGCACCGUCAAGCUUCCCAAUGUCCAAAAUCAACCCUUUCUACAUAGCAGCCAAAUAUAGUUCUCUUCACGGAACCUGUAUUGAACCUGAGCACCUGAGUUAAGUUGUGCCAAUCUGCUAUUUAUUGUGUGUUCUGCAAGUUGUGCAUUUGUUAUUUUUCGAAGAUUGGCUUUAAAACUUGACUGGCCACUUUUCUGUACCUUCCCAGUGUAAGGAAGAUUUUAUCAAAAUUUUUCCUUGACCAGGUGCUACAAUAUUUACAUGGAGAAUAUAAGCACUUCCUUAUUAGGUGCUAGUACCACCUUUCUCCUUUAGAAAUAUUGGGCAGUUGUCUAUCCAGCCUUAUUCCAGAGCCACUAAUUCACUUUAAGUUUCAUCCAAGGAUUUGCUGCAUAUUGUAGUCAUAUAUUUUGAGGUAAUAAGUUUAGCACACAUGUAAAUACUUGGAUAUUUGUUGAAUAAUAAGUUGUGUUUCAGCUUUUAUUUAUGAAUGAUAGUGGCCAUAAGGCUUACUUGUUACCUUC
Long non-coding RNA from Hevea brasiliensis (rubber tree), 1050 nucleotides. RefSeq lists it as uncharacterized. The record is from RefSeq and is a predicted model, not a curated record. NCBI's taxonomy places the organism in Eukaryota, Viridiplantae, Streptophyta, Magnoliopsida, Malpighiales, Euphorbiaceae. The transcript is spliced from 2 exons.